Long non-coding RNA from Rhododendron vialii, 1574 nucleotides. RefSeq lists it as uncharacterized. The record is from RefSeq and is a predicted model, not a curated record. Lineage: Eukaryota; Viridiplantae; Streptophyta; Magnoliopsida; Ericales; Ericaceae. The transcript is spliced from 2 exons.
AAACCGCAAGUUUCAACUCAACUACUCUUCUCCUACAACAUCAAAACAAAAGGGACAAAAACAAAAAAAUAAAAGCCUUGUUUGGACGAAAAUUGAUUGACCAACACUUUUCGAAUGUAGUUUUUGGACGAAAUUUGCUGAAAUAACAAGGAUUCGCGGGAUGCACGAAUUUGUUUUUUAAGUCUCACAACCUACGUCCGCUCAGGAAUUGUGUGAUAUGGAAACAAUGGCUGUUUUCUUAUUUAAAAUGUUGUUUAUAAAGUAGUAUGCGAAACUAAAUCUAAAAAAGGUCCCCAAAUAGAGCUCUACUUAAUCGUAAAUACCUUUUAGCUUGAACGUUUCUUGUAUCCCUAAAAAGGAAUAGUAGGUUAAAUUCCCAACUGUGAGGCUGCGCUUCUUUUAUGAAAAGUGUUUUUAAGGCUCGGAAAAUCUACGUUUGCUCAAGAAUUGUGUGAUAGGGAAAUGAUUGGUGUUUAUUUUAUUUAAAAUGUUGUUUAUUAAGUAUUAUGCAAUACUAAAUCUCAAAAAGGUACCCAAAUAGAGCUACUACUUAAUUGUACCUACCUUUUUAGCUUGAAUGUUUCUCGUAUCCCUGAAAGGGAAUAGUAGCUUAAAGUCCCAAUUGUGAUGCUGUGCUUCUUUUUCUAAACUAGGUUGUAGUUGUGAAACAAGGGAUGAAAAUAUACCAUCUAGGGGCAUACCUACAAGUGUAACAAUGCGUGCACUCCAAAAUAUAUAGCAUUUUUGGUUCAAUUUUGAAGCCAAUUAUUUUUCAGUGGCUUCCUACGGCUGGUAGAUUGGAUCCUUGAGCUUCAAGGGAAUCAUGUGACAGAGAGAAGUUCUACGAUGCUUAUUAUACUCCAGUUGAAUGAUUAAAAACAUAGCAGGUUAACAAACAUACCGGUAUAACGUAAACAAGCACCGUAUCGGCGUAUUUGUGCCAUGCACGAGAGCACGAGAAUGGAUUUUAUGUUCAAUGAUAUUUAGCUCUAAUCGACUUAAAAUUUAAUAUUAAAUUUGAUUUUUUUUAGAAGAUGAAAUUUGAAUGUGAGGAGAAAUGUAAGGGGAUUUGAAAGAUUUUUUUCCCUUCGAAGUGAAAAUCAAAAGAGAGCUAAAUAAUUUUACCUUCGUUGCACCAUGGCCAUUAUGUCACAGUACAUGCCACUAGACAGCCAAAACAAUAAUCAAGUCGUCCACCACGAUGCUGAGCCACUACGGCAGGGUUCAGCCGUGGUGUAACGAAGAAACAGAUGCACGAGCAGUUAUGCUGAAGGGAAAGGUUGCAGGAAAGUGGGGAUUUUCCAUUGGCGAAGAAACUUCAGAUCCAGACAUUGUGAAUCAUCCAUAUAUACAGGAUUAAGUUAGACACACUCUUGUGUUUCUUCUUUUUCUUUCACCUUCGUGUAAAUAGUAUUAGUGAGAUGUAAAGAAGCCUUGUAGUUGAGAGUUGUAUUAUAAAGAAGAAUGUAUAACUUUAUAUGUGGAAUUGUCAUCAACGGGGACAAAUAUAGGAAAACUAGUGAAAGUGUGUCGAAUAAGAGAAGCUACAGUCCCUGGGGGCAUGGUUUUUAGUU